RNAcentral lists this unclassified non-coding RNA (253 nucleotides) under uncultured Nitrospira sp. RNAcentral's name for it is "contains 16S-23S intergenic spacer region". It matches the Rfam family "Bacterial small subunit ribosomal RNA", at positions 524 to 776 of the family's 1533-position model. Lineage: Bacteria; Pseudomonadati; Nitrospirota; Nitrospiria; Nitrospirales; Nitrospiraceae. The record is from RNAcentral.
UACGAAGGUGGUAAGCGUUGUUCGGAUUCACUGGGCGUACAGGGUGCGUAGGCGGUUUGGUAAGCCUUCUGUUAAAGCUUCGGGCUCAACCCGGGAAGCGCAGAGGGUACUGCCAGGCUAGAGGACGGGAGAGGAGCGCGGAAUUCCCGGUGUAGCGGUGAAAUGCGUAGAGAUCGGGAGGAAGGCCGGUGGCGAAGGCGGCGCUCUGGAACGUACCUGACGCUGAGGUGCGAAAGCGUGGGGAGCAAACAGG